UUCCGGUUGAUCCCGCCGGAGGUCACUGCUAUUGGGAUUCGACUAAGCCAUGCGAGUCGAGAGGGUUCGGCCCUCGGCAGACGGCUCAGUAACACGUGGAUAAUCUGCCCUUAGGUGGAGGAUAAUCUCGGGAAACUGAGGAUAAUACUCCAUAGAUCUAGGAUGCUGUAAUGCACUUAGAUUAAAAGCUCCGGCGCCUAAGGAUGAGUCUGCGGACUAUCAGGUAGUAGUCAGGGUAAAGACCUGACUAGCCUACGACGGAUACGGGUUGUGAGAGCAAUAACCCGGAGACGAUAUCUGAGACACGAUAUCGGGCCCUACGGGGCGCAGCAGGCGCGAAAACUUCACACUGUGCGAAAGCACGAUGAGGGAAUCCCAAGUGCUUGCUCGUAAGAGUAAGCUGUUUUUAUGUCCAAAAAGCAUAGAGAGUAAGGGCUGGGUAAGACGGGUGCCAGCCGCCGCGGUAAUACCUGCAGCUCGAGUGGUGACCACUAUUAUUGGGCCUAAAACGUUCGUAGCCGGUUUAUUAAAUGCUUGGGUAAAUCGUGUAGCUUAACUAUACGAAUUCCGGGUAGACUGAUAGACUUGAGACCGGGAGAAGCUAGAGGUACUCCUGGGGUAGAGGUGAAAUUCUGUAAUCCUGGGGGGACCACCAGUGGCGAAGGCGUCUAGCUAGAACGGGUCUGACGGUGAGGAACGAAGCCCUGGGGCGCAAACCGGAUUAGAUACCCGGGUAGUCCAGGGUGUAAACGCUGCUUGCUUGAUGUUAGUUGGGCUCCGAGCCCAAUUAGUGUCGGAGAGAAGUUGUUAAGCAAGCUGCCUGGGAAGUACGAUCGCAAGAUUGAAACUUAAAGGAAUUGGCGGGGGAGCACAGCAACGGGUGGAGCGUGCGGUUUAAUUGGAUUCAACGCCGGA
This 915-nucleotide ribosomal RNA is filed under the name uncultured archaeon. Its description in RNAcentral is "bacterial SSU rRNA". It matches the Rfam family "Archaeal small subunit ribosomal RNA", at positions 1 to 922 of the family's 1478-position model. The record is from RNAcentral.